UCCGGUUUAUCACCGGAUUAGAUACCCUGGUAGUCCACGCCGUAAACGAUGGGCACUAGGUGUGGGAGGUGUCGACUCCUCCCGUGCCGGAGCUAACGCAUUAAGUGCCCCGCCUGGGGAGUACGGCUGCAAGGCUAAAACUCAAAGGAAUUGACGGGGACCCGCACAAGCAGCGGAGCAUGUGGUUUAAUUCGACGCAACGCGAAGAACCUUACCUGGGUUUGACAUGUUCCUGACCGCCGUGGAACCACGGUUUCCCCUUGUGGGCAGGAUCACAGGUGGUGCAUGGCUGUCGUCAGCUCGUGUCGUGAGAUGUUGGGUUAAGUCCCGCAACGAGC
RNAcentral lists this unclassified non-coding RNA (338 nucleotides) under uncultured Solirubrobacterales bacterium. Its description in RNAcentral is "contains 16S-23S intergenic spacer region". It matches the Rfam family "Bacterial small subunit ribosomal RNA", at positions 760 to 1097 of the family's 1533-position model. The record is from RNAcentral. Lineage: Bacteria; Bacillati; Actinomycetota; Thermoleophilia; Solirubrobacterales.